GCUCAGCAGACGACGUAGUUCUUGUGCUCUUCCCGCCUCGCCUUUCUUUUCUUGGUUUCAAUCCCUGGUGUUGCAAGCCAAUUCCCGGGUCUUGUUAGGCGGGAAACACAGACUGCAUUACCCAUGUUUGAAACUGGAUUUGCGCGUUUGGGAAGCAAGAAUGGGGUUACUCUGCUGGAAAAGCUUGACAUUGCAAAUAAGGGAUUUUUACCCUACGGUUCCACAAGUUCCCACUAAGUAUCUGGUACGCGGAAGAGAGGGACAAGGAAGCACAGAGGCUCAGAACAGUUCGUUGUUCACCUCGUCUUUCUACCACAUAAUUCUGCCUCUAGAAAUACAGGAGAAAGAGUAGCCACGCAAAGCUUCUAGGAACUCCUGGGAGAAGCAUUCAUAAACUCUUAUUGCUGCCAGUUCAUCUUGGGGCCUUUCGGUGUGAAGAAAUGGAUCCUUAUCAAAUACUUUUGUGAAAGAACAUUUACAUCCUGCUUUAUUCCAGAAGAAAAGAUUUAAGUCACUUUGGUUACACAGGGAAAACCUGGAAGAGGGGAGAUACAGAAGAACCCAUACCCGCAUGGCCUGAAGACAGGCUAAAAGACUGAUGGGAGCUUGCGACCCUACAGAGUUGGAACCGCUCUGCGCUCACAGGCCUGGGAGCUUAGUGCCCAGUGGCCAGGGACCCCCCCUAGGAUUCCUUUGUGGAUCAAAGGCAAAGAAAGAAGGGCUUCUGAAGGCCUGGCACAGCUACAAGGAUUCUCCUGACAGUAUGGCACAUCUGUCUAGCACGUCAUGUUUCGGGGAAGCCUUUCCCAACGGUGUCAUGAGGCUGGCAGGGUGGGCAUUCUGUCCAUCAGCGAGGAGCAGAUGGAGAGCCAAAGAGGAUGAGUGAAUUGCCGACGCGCACGCCUGGUUCAGGAUCAGCAUCCAGGUCUCCUCAUUAAGUCCAAUGAGCUUUCAGCUCUGUCAUGCUGCCUCUUCUUCCCCAGAGGGCUUGGGAAACAUAAGCAACUGCCUACAGGAAAUAUGCUUCACCUUCCUCACAGACACGGCGUUCCAGAACCAGACUCCAUGGAAACAGAACACAGAGGGUGUGUACAUGCAUGUCUUCUAGACCCACUCCAGUUCUCAUCAGAAGCUGAUGAGCCACCCCACAGUUCACGGCGGGUCAGACCUAAUCCGUAUCCUCUUCAAAAUAGGCCAGAAAAAUGGAAUCACUGGAUAUCAGAAGAGAAAGGGAACCACAGAGUCUUGCUAGUCUAAUGCCUUUAUUUUAAGGAUGAAGAAAUAGCCUUUUGUUUUGUUUUUCAGAAUUAUUGAGAUAUAAUGUACAAAGUGGUAAGAUACUUAAAGUUACAACAUGAUUUUGAAACAACCUUGCCUUGUGAAAGGACUCCCCCAUCAUGUUAAUUACCCUAAUAAUCACUUCACAUAUUUACCUUUGUGUGUGUAUGUUUGAGAAUAUUUAAGUUCUACUCUCUCAGCAAAUUUCAAUUAUACAAAUACAGUGUUAUCAACUAUAGUCACCAUGUUAUACAGUAGAUCCUCAGACUUCAUUCAUCUUGUAACUAAAAGUUUACACAAUUUGGCUGACUUCUCCUAUUUCUCCUACCUCCAGUCCCUUCAACCAUUUUCUACAUUCUGUUUCUUAGAGUUUUUUAAAGAUUUUACAUAUAAGUGAUACUAUGCAG
Molecule: long non-coding RNA, 1685 nt
Filed under: Sus scrofa (pig)
Lineage: Eukaryota; Metazoa; Chordata; Mammalia; Artiodactyla; Suidae
Description: lncRNA (ENSSSCG00060058715.1)
Source: RNAcentral